This 75-nucleotide transfer RNA is filed under the name Candidatus Woesearchaeota archaeon. Its description in RNAcentral is "tRNA-Glu". It matches the Rfam family "tRNA". From Rfam's summary of the family: Transfer RNA (tRNA) molecules are approximately 80 nucleotides in length. Their secondary structure includes four short double-helical elements and three loops (D, anti-codon, and T loops). Further hydrogen bonds mediate the characteristic L-shaped molecular structure. tRNAs have two regions of fundamental functional importance: the anti-codon, which is responsible for specific mRNA codon recognition, and the 3' end, to which the tRNAs corresponding amino acid is attached (by aminoacyl-tRNA synthetases). tRNAs cope with the degeneracy of the genetic code in two manners: having more than one tRNA (with a specific anti-codon) for a particular amino acid; and 'wobble' base-pairing, i.e. permitting non-standard base-pairing at the 3rd anti-codon position. Lineage: Archaea; Nanobdellati; Candidatus Woesearchaeota. The record is from RNAcentral.
GCCCCUGUAGUGUAGUCCGGCCAAUCAUACCGCCCUCUCGAGGCGGUGACUCGGGUUCAAAUCCCGGCGGGGGCA